UACGGGGGGGGCAAGCGUUGUUCGGAAUUACUGGGCGUAAAGGGCUCGUAGGUGGCCAACUAAGUCGGACGUGAAAUCCCUCGGCUUAACCGGGGAACUGCACCCGAUACUGGAUGGCUUGAGUUCGGGAGAGGGAUGCGGAAUUCCAGGUGUAGCGGUGAAAUGCGUAGAUAUCUGGAGGAACACCGGUGGCGAAGGCGGCAUCCUGGACCGACACUGACGCUGAGGAGCGAAAGCCAGGGGAGCAAACGGG
This 253-nucleotide ribosomal RNA is filed under the name uncultured bacterium. Its description in RNAcentral is "partial 16S ribosomal RNA". It matches the Rfam family "Bacterial small subunit ribosomal RNA", at positions 524 to 776 of the family's 1533-position model. The record is from RNAcentral.